This 827-nucleotide unclassified non-coding RNA is filed under the name Hevea brasiliensis (rubber tree). The record is from RNAcentral. Lineage: Eukaryota; Viridiplantae; Streptophyta; Magnoliopsida; Malpighiales; Euphorbiaceae.
AUAUUUUAUGAAUUUUAUUCUAAACUUGACGUUAGACAAAUAAUGCAAUUUAGAGUUCGGGUUUAGCUAUAUCAAUUCUGACACUUGAAAUGCAUUUGGAACGUCUAAAAAUAAUAGGAUCGACUGUAAAAUUGAUUAUAUAGUGGGACGGCCAACCGAGCAGCCGAAAACUUGGUCCUGAACUUUGAUGGGUUAUCACUGAUCCGAUCGCACCUAAACAAAACCAAAAAAUUGUUAAUAAUUUUCAGGUAAUUAUUUUUAAUUUAUGAGAGUUGAAAAGGCAUGAGAAUCUCACAAAAAAUUGCCUUUUUUAAAUGGUGUCCGAUCGGUGCGGGGUUGGUUCUAUCUCGAAGGUUUCGUCAUGCUGAGUUUAUCGGUGGUCUUGAAUCGUCGAUUCAACUAUCAGAUCUCUGGAAAAGUGGAUGAAAAGUGGCAAACCUAUUUCUUUCUCUCUCCUCGUUUUGUGUGAAUCUAGUGGCUGCCGGCGAUGAGGCUGGUCAAAAAAGCUUCCUCAAGUGAAGGGGAGUCAAUGGAGACCAAUGGUGUCACCGGACUAUGGUCGGAAUGGCCAGCGUGACUCUCUCCGUCUUUCUCUCACUUCUCUCUCUCUCCUUCUCUCUCUACAGCUGCUGGUGCUUUUCCGUCAGCUUCCAUGGCUGUUGGUGCUUUUCCGUCGGCUUCCAUGGCUGCUAGAGGUCGGCCAGUGUGUUCGGGACGGUUGGGGAACGUCAUCGGCAUUGCUGGUUGGCCGAGGAAGAAGAAAUAGGGGGAAAUGGGGUGGGUGGUGAAGAGGGAUGAAGAGAGAAGGGGAGGGCGGGGUUAUGGGG